AUGAACUCAUUCUCGCCCCCCGGCCCCGAUGGCCUUCCAGUAAAGUUCUUUCAAACUUUCUGGGAAUCCAUUAAGCCUGAGGUCAUGGCCCUAUUUGAAGAAUUCUAUGUUGGGGCCAUUGAUCUCACCCGUCUCAACUUUGGAAUAAUCACGCUCAUUCCCAAAGUUACGGGUGCCUCGGACAUCCGCCAAUUCCACCCAAUCAUGGUGAUCAAUGUCAUCUUUCGCAUCCUCGCGAAGGGGUACGCCAAUAGGGUGGCCCCAAUUGCGGACUGAAUCAUCCACCCGGAUCAGUCGGCUUUCAUCCAGGGCCGGUAUAUCUUGAACGGAGUCCUAGUGUUUCACGAAGCCUUACACGAGGUGCACUCCAAGCACCUCAAGGCAGUCUUCCUAAAACUAGAUUUCCACAAGGCCUACGACACGGUUAGCUGGCACUUCCUGCGUGAAUGCCUGCUUCGUAAGGGCUUUGACGAGAGAUAG
This 480-nucleotide ribosomal RNA is filed under the name Triticum aestivum (bread wheat). RNAcentral describes it as "partial small subunit ribosomal RNA". The record is from RNAcentral. Lineage: Eukaryota; Viridiplantae; Streptophyta; Magnoliopsida; Poales; Poaceae.